Antechinus flavipes (yellow-footed antechinus) is the source of this 2020-nucleotide long non-coding RNA. RefSeq lists it as uncharacterized. The record is from RefSeq and is a predicted model, not a curated record. NCBI's taxonomy places the organism in Eukaryota, Metazoa, Chordata, Mammalia, Dasyuromorphia, Dasyuridae. The transcript is spliced from 2 exons.
CAACUUUUCUGCCUUCUACUGAGGGAUCUCUGAGUAGUCAUUUUGGGUAAGGGUCUUCUACAUCCCUCACAGUUGGGGGCUCGUCCGGGAUGGGGUCUUUGGGGGAGAUGGCUAUGUGCACCCCGAACAGGGACAGGUGCCCACGGAGUAGUUUUCUCCAUGGUCUCUGGCUCUGGGUGAGCAGCCUCCCUCCCCUCUUAGACAACGACCCGAAGCAGGAAUACUCAGUGGAAUACAGAAUUGAAGAUUGAAAGAAGUAGAGUCCUGAUGGCCGGCAUUUGCAGCCUGAAAAGAAACAUAUGUUCUCGAGAUUAUUGAAUCUCUUCUGAGACAUGGAUCGGCCCAUCUGAAGCUUAGAUUGACACCACACCCACACCCCUGCAUGGAUUGAGCACCUUCGCCCAUUUCUCAGCCUGAAGCAGCUAAGAUCGAGACCAUCGCCAGUGCUCCUGAUGUAAUUUGGACUGAUAUGGGGGAAGUGGGAAAGUGGUUGAUGAAUUAUUGUUAAAAUUACAAUUCUAUUACUAGAGUUAGGAAAAAAAAUGCAAACAUUACUGUGUGUUUAAGAUUUGGGAUGGAAAUUAUUAAAAAUGGUAACUAUUGCUGUUAAGGAAGCUAUAAAAUGUUUAUAAUAUCUAUGUUCACUUCAGAAUAUGUAAUUGUUUAAGGUAUUUGAUUUGAUUUGAUUUGAUUGAUUUUAGGAAACUCCUCCUGUACUAGACUGUUAUGUAUGUAGGAACUUUAAUUCACUCUUGGGAUUUAUAUGUGGAUGGUUAUUUGACUAUUUAUUUAUUUAUUUUUUUGGAUGAUUCCUUUCCAUGAGGAAAAAAAAGGAGAGGAAGAGAUAGGGGACUAGGGAAACUGGUGGAUUUUUCUCAAAAUACCUAAAAGAGUAGGAACCCUUAGUUUUCUUUCACUUUUGCCUUACGUACUUCUGCCCCAUCCCCUAUACCACCAGUUCAGAUUAAAUUGGAAGUCCUUAAGCAAUCUUUUUUGUUUUUACUAUGUUUUAGCUUUGAAACCCCUCAUUCUGUGGAAUUGCCCUGGCAGACUCAGUUUUGGGAACUAUUCUAUUUUUAAGAAAUCUCCAAGAUAAAGACACUUGUCUUGGGACUGGCAAUCUCCAGCCCUGUAACCCCAGUUUCUUAACUGGUACCUCAGCAUUUUUAAUAACAUUGCCCUUUUGAGAUCAAGCCUCUAAAGUUUGGGGUUUGCCUGCCUUCAUGUUCUAACUGUGCAUGCUCUGAUAGCUCUGCUCAGAAAUCUGUAUUCUAGUAGCAGCCCUGUCUGUCCCCCUGGGUGGGGACAGGUGGAGCUACACUAAGCCUCACCCUUCUCCCCUGCAGUGGGUUGCCCCUCUGAAUGGGCAGCAUGACUGUCUCGAGCCCUGCUACUCCCUUUAUAAGCAGAAGCUGAGUUAAGUGCACAAAUGACUGCAGACCACCUAACACAGUGAACUGUCCAUCUCAAACUGGAUUCUCUGGCUGAGAUGAGGGCCUUUGUACUGCUGAUAACUCUGGGGUUGUCAGGAAGAGACUUGCCCUUGCUAUAAGUCCUUGCAUUUUCUAGUUUCAUUUUGACUUAUUUGCCUCACAUUGGAUUGGUCAAAAUUAUGGUGCUGAGACCUCCCAGGUAUCUUGGGGAGGUAAUUCAAUAAUUCAAAUAUUCAGAAGAAGAGUGUGUAAUGUUCUGCCUCAGUUUCCCUAGAUUGUCAUCUUUAUUUAUCUUUGUAUUUUUAUAUUUGCCAAAUGCCAAUCUGUUCUGUGAUAACUGUUUCUAAGAUAGUUGGUGGAAGCAAUUUUUAUGGUAUGAACUUAUUGCAAUCAAUGGUAUUAUCCUGUUGCUGCUAUGUCUAUUUUGUAUAAUUACAUUAGUAACCAGAAUAGUUCAGUGGUCCCUAUCAAAAUAUUGCAUACAGAAGAUGCUAUUAAAAUGAUAAUUCUUCAGAGAAAAGACUGGAAUGUAUUAAAGAGGGAUGAUCUUGAUUGUGAACUUGAUAAACAAUGUAUAGAUAUAUUAA